GACGAACGCUGGCGGCACGCCUAACACAUGCAAGUCGAACGGAGAAAAUGAUUUCGGUUAUUUUCUUAGUGGCGGACGGGUGAGUAACACGUGAGGAACCUCCCUCUGAGAGUGGGAUAGCUUCUGGAAACGGAUGGUAGUACCGCAUAACAUAGCGAAACCGCAUGAUUUUGCUAUCAAAGUAUUUCGCUCAGAGAUGGCCUCGCGUCUGAUUAGAUAGUUGGUGAGGUAACGGCUCACCAAGUCGACGAUCAGUAGCCGGACUGAGAGGUUGAACGGCCACAUUGGGACUGAGACACGGCCCAGACUCCUACGGGAGGCAGCAGUGGGGGACAUUGCACAAUGGGGGAAACCCUGAUGCAGCGAUGCCGCGUGGAGGAAGAAGGUUUUUGGAUUGUAAACUCCUGUCGUAAGGGAAGAGAAAGGACGGUAUUAUAUGAAUAAGCACCGGCUAACUCCGUGCCAGCCGCCGCGGUAA
RNAcentral lists this ribosomal RNA (478 nucleotides) under uncultured bacterium. RNAcentral's name for it is "partial 16S ribosomal RNA". It matches the Rfam family "Bacterial small subunit ribosomal RNA", at positions 28 to 523 of the family's 1533-position model. The record is from RNAcentral.